UACGGAGGGGGCUAGCGUUGUUCGGAAUUACGGGGCGUAAAGCGCACGUAGGCGGCUUUGCAAGUUAGAGGUGAAAGCCCGGGGCUCAACUCCGGAAUUGCCUUUAAAACUGCAUCGCUAGAAUUGUGGAGAGGUAAGUGGAAUUCCGAGUGUAGAGGUGAAAUUCGUAGAUAUUCGGAAGAACACCAGUGGCGAAGGCGGCUCACUGGCCCGGUACUGACGCUGAGGCGCGAAAGCGUGGGGAGCAAACAGG
This 253-nucleotide ribosomal RNA is filed under the name uncultured bacterium. RNAcentral's name for it is "partial 16S ribosomal RNA". It matches the Rfam family "Bacterial small subunit ribosomal RNA", at positions 524 to 776 of the family's 1533-position model. The record is from RNAcentral.